Molecule: ribosomal RNA, 510 nt
Filed under: uncultured bacterium
Lineage: Bacteria
Description: partial 16S ribosomal RNA
Rfam family: Bacterial small subunit ribosomal RNA
Source: RNAcentral
GACGAACGCUGGCGGCGUGCUUAACACAUGCAAGUCGAACGAAGAGCGACGGAAGCUUGCUUCUAUCACUCUUAGUGGCGAACGGGUGAGUAACGCGUAAUCAACCUGCCCUUCAGAGGGGGACAACAGUUGGAAACGACUGCUAAUACCGCAUACGAUCUAACCUCGGCAUCGAGGAUAGAUGAAAGGUGGCCUCUACAUGUAAGCUAUCACUGAAGGCGGGGAUUGCGUCUGAUUAGCUAGUUGGAGGGGUAACGGCCCACCAAGGCGAUGAUCAGUAGCCGGUCUGAGAGGAUGAACGGCCAAAUUGGGACUGAGGCACGGCCCAGACCCCUACGGGAGGCAGCAGUGGGGAAUCUUCCGCAAUGGACGAAAGUCUGACGGAGCAACGCCGCGUGAGGGAUGACGGCCUUCGGGUUGUAAAGCUCUGUUAAUCGGGACGAAAGGCCUUCUUGCGAAUAGUGAGAAGGAUUGACGGUACCGGAAUAGAAAGCCACGGCUAACUACGUG